AUGGCAAUGUCUCUCAUCCAAGCGUGCCGCAGCCUGGCUCUCUCAACAUGGCUGCUUUCCUUUUGUUUCGUGCAUCUGCUCUGCCUGGACUUCACCGUGGCCGAGAAGGAAGAAUGGUACACCGCUUUCGUGAACAUCACCUACGCCGAGCCCGCGCCGGACCCCGGGGCCGGGGCGGCGGGCGGCGGCGGCGGCGGCACCACCGCCGAGCUGCACACCGAGAAGACCGAGUGCGGGCGCUACGGGGAGCACUCGCCCAAGCAGGACGCCCGCGGGGAGGUGGUCAUGGCCAGCUCGGCCCACGACCGCCUGGCCUGCGACCCCAACACCAAGUUCGCCUCCCCGGCGCACGGCAAGAACUGGAUAGCCCUCAUCCCCAAGGGCAACUGCACGUACAGGGAUAAGAUCCGGAACGCGUUCCUGCAGAACGCCUCCGCCGUGGUCAUCUUCAACGUGGGCUCCAACAACAACGAGACCAUCACCAUGUCCCACGCAGGUGUAGAAGACAUCGUGGCAAUAAUGAUUCCUGAGCCCAAAGGGAAGGAGAUAGUAAGCCUGCUGGAGAGAAACAUCACCGUGACGAUGUACAUCACCAUCGGAACCCGGAACUUGCAGAAAUACGUGAGCCGCACCUCGGUUGUGUUUGUCUCCAUCUCCUUCAUCGUCUUGAUGAUCAUUUCCCUCGCCUGGCUGGUCUUCUAUUAUAUCCAGAGGUUUCGAUAUGCAAAUGCCAGGGACAGGAACCAGCGCCGACUGGGAGAUGCAGCAAAGAAAGCAAUCAGCAAGCUCCAGGUCAGGACCAUCAAGAAGGGUGACAAGGAAACCGAGCCUGAUUUUGACAACUGUGCAGUUUGUAUUGAAGGGUACAAGCCCAACGAUGUGGUCCGGAUCUUGCCCUGCCGGCAUCUUUUCCACAAGUCCUGUGUUGACCCCUGGCUCCUAGACCAUCGCACCUGUCCCAUGUGCAAGAUGAACAUUCUUAAAGCCCUAGGGAUCCCGCCCAAUGCCGACUGCAUGGACGACUUGCCCACUGACUUCGAGGGAUCUCUGGGAGGUCCAUCAACCAACCAGAUCACCGGCGCAAGCGACACAACCGUAAACGAAAGCUCAGUCACUUUGGACCCUGCUGUCCGGACCGUGGGAGCCUUGCAGGUGGUCCAGGAUACAGAUCCCACCCCGCAGGAGGGAGAAAUCAUCUUCACCACCAACAGUGAGCAGGAACCAGCUAUAAGCAGUGAUUCUGACAUCUCGCUGAUCAUGGCAAUGGAGGUUGGACUGUCUGAUGUAGAACUUUCCACCGACCAAGACUGCGAAGAGGUGAAAUCUUGAAAUGGCGAAUAUAGGAAAAAGGGAUGAUAGGACCCAAGGGGAAGGAAGGGAGGAGUGCCCCAAGACUGGACCAGGCACAUGCACCUCCAGACCACCUUGGCAACUCCAGGGCACUCCACACAAGAAUGGUACCGAAAAGCAAUACCCAAAGUCACGUUCAUCAGGAUGCAGUUUCUCCGUCUCUACAACAGCUCAUGGCCUCGGCACCUUUGACGUCGAAAGCUGAUUUUCUCUCCCAUGUCCUUGUAGGCACACACUUCCGAAGUUCCUCAAACAGACUGAAAAGACACUCUUAGGGCUUCUUAGUUUCAUUUCAGUUUCUUGUUUUCCUAUUUGGGGAAUGUUGUUGAUUUCUUUGACGCUUUCUUUUUAAGGACUAUGUGUAGUUUAAGUUCACUCUUUUGUUUUUCCUUUGAUUCACUCCAGCUUUUGUACAGAGUUCUGUUCAGAAGCCUCAGUUCCUGCUAUGACCAGUUUGUAUUCCAUCUCUGAGAUUAAUGGCCUUGACCUCUCAGCAUGAAGUGUGCAUGGCUUUAGGAAGUGCCUCAGCACCUUGAAACAGUCUAAGGCCAGCUUUCGUUUAGAAUCUGAAUUCUUUUAAGUGGAUCUUGGAAAUGCCAGCUGCCAGAGACCCCAACACCAAGCUCUGAAUCUGCUGAGGCCACUGCUCAUUUUUUUUUAGCUCCACACGCUGGCUUCCACUUGCCAGGCUCUGUUGAGGACCCACGUGACUUGAGAAGGAAGCUCUAGGGAGGCAUUUCAAUCCAUCUGAUUCUUAACAGUCUUUGGCUGAAAUUCUGAACUCACAAGUUCCCACUAGGGCAUUAGCGCCAUUCUCUGUGGCUGUAGGCCUUGUCCGUCACUGGGACUGCAAGCCUAGUUUUCAAACCAGAUACCAUAUACUCGUCCCGAAAGCAAAAUGUCUGUUUCCCCAAGGCUACAGCAGUCUUUUGUUACCUCCACAAAUGCGUUCUGCAGGAGAUGGAAGCUUUAGAAAAGAUCCAGUCAUCUUUGGAUCCAACACAGUGAGGGCUGCAGUAGCAUCUAGGUCUUACCUUAAUUCCAAUAUGCUUCUGUUCAACCUUGUCAGACCUCGAGGGAGGAUUUAGGUAAAUCCUUAAGAAAUUGCUUCCCAGGGCUCCCCUGACUGCGUCUAGAUACCAAGUGAGGAGGGAGGUGUGAUUUGAUAAACCAUUUGAUCUAAAAAGUACAGCAUGGGAAUUGUUGAUGUCAAGUUUCUCCUGACUGAGAGAGACAAAAAGGGAAAGGAAACGAAGUAUCAAAGUGAAUUCUAAAAAUCCACCGGUGUUUUUGUUUGUUUGUUUGUUUGCGGUACGCCAGCCUCUCACUGUUGUGGCCUCUCCCGCUGCGGAGCGCAGGCUCCGGACGCUCAGGCUCAGCGGCCAUGGCUCACAGGCCUAGCUGCUCCGCGGCAUGUGGGAUCCUCCCGGACCGGGGCACGAACCCACGUCCCCUGCAUCGGCAGGUGGACUCUCAACCACUGCGCCACCAGGGAAGCCCCCCCACCGGUGUUUUUAAACUGUUUGUUUUCAUUCUUUUUUUGACAGAGGUGUGCUAUUUUUUUCACUGGGCAGUUUUGUAAUACAUUGAGACUCUCCAGGUGCAGGGAUGACUAAGGCAGUGUGAAUAGCUUCCCUGGACCACCUCGAUAUCCGCGAAAGGCCAUGCUGCUGCGUGGGUUACCUGGGAGAGAAAGCUUCUCUCACUGAGUUAUUUAUGUAUGUGAUGAGGCCCUUCUUCUCGCUACAUGCAUACUCAUGCAAAAACAGAGUUUUGUUCUGCUGUAAGAGCUUGCUGCCUGCUGGAACACGGUGUAUGUGUCAAGGGAGACCCCUGGCUGCUCUUUUUUCACCACCUUGAACAAUUUCCUAUUUGACGCUUUCUAAGUAGGCAGCAAAGCAAGGAAAAGGAUCACCACCUUCACAAAUGUCACCUCUCUCUAGGAGUCCAACACUUGCAGUGAUGAAAUCCAGGGUCUCCAGGCAGGGAGACACGAAGGCAGUGCCAAAUCAGGAGUCAGGAGGCAUAGACGAGCAGCGUGCGUGCUGGGCCUCGGCUUCUCCAUCUGGCUUCCCUGGUGGCUCAGUGGUUAAGAAUCCGCCUGCCAAUGCAGGGGACACGGGUUUGAGCCCUGGUCCAAGAAGAUCCCACGUGCCACAGAGCAGCUAAGCCCGUGCACCACAACUACUGAGCCUGUGCGCUAGAGCCUGUGAGCCACAACUACCGAAGCCCGUGUGCCACAACUACUGAAGCCUGUGCACCUAGAGCCCAUGCUCCGCAACAAAAGAAGCCACUGCAGUGAGAAGCCCGUGCACCACAACGAAGAGUAGCCCCUGCUCGCCGCAACUAGAGAAAAGCCCGCGCGCAGCAACGAUGACCCAACGCAGCCAAACAAAAUAAAAACAAAAACCACACUUAGUCACAGAGUUUGCAGUCUCUGGAUACUUUCAAAUCCUCGUUCUCAGUGUGGAAUUCUUCGUCUCCAGGUAUUUCUUUUUCCUGGUCAGUGGCCUGCACCGCCGACCUCUCCUUCAGUCAGCUUUGCCCAAAACAAAUUUUGGUAUUAAGUCAAGGGGAAUUAGAAGGACAAUUCAACAGCAAAGGAAAUAUAAAUUGUAUUCCAUGCCCAGAGAGAAGAUGCCUUUUGGAUUGAUGGGUGUUCUCUCUUCCUGCCAGCGACCAGGUAGAUCAGGAAUUGGGUGCUUAUGUGCGCUGCGGCCCAGCAGCCCCUAUAAGAUGCUGCAUAGGGGAUGAGGGGCCCAGCCGGCCAAUCUGAGGCCUGUGGACCUGACCCCAAGGAGGUUCUGCUGCAAACUCGCUGAGCCUAGAAGUUUCUCCUUUACUGAAGGUUUGUUUCUGAAGAAUUUUCUUAUGGCUUUGGUAGUUUUAAACAAACAACAAAAAAAAAGGUUAACUGGCGUGGGACGUGUUCAAAAAAAAAAAAAUGGAAACAAUCCUUCCUCCACAGCUUACUUCACCUCCUCCCCAACGAAGAAGAAACUCUGACCUGGGGCCCCAGUAGCUCAAAGAGUAUCAAAGGGUGUGGGAACCUUCUAGAGGUGUAUGAAGACUUGACAUGUAUUUUUCUUUAGUGUCUAGACCAGCACUGUUCAACAGAAAUAUAGUACAUGUCCCACAUGUAAUUUUCUACUGGCCACAUUUUUAAAAAGCAAAAGGAAACAGGUAAAAGUAAUUUUAAUAAUAUCCUUCUUUAAGCCAAUAUUAUUGUUUUGACACGUAAUUAGUGUAAAAAGUACUCACGAAAUACUUGACGUUCUUUUUCCGUACUAAAUCUUCUAAGGGCAGUGUAUGCUUUACACUCACACACCUCUCCGUUCGGACUGGCCAUUUCUCCAGCUGUCAGCCGCAUCACAUGGCUCGUGGCCACCUUGGACAGCGCAGGGCUAGAGCUUCUCCAACAUUCUCACAAGAUUCCCUGACCCUCACAGAGUAAAAAGGUUAAGACCUAAUUACCUCCAGAAAGAACUGGACUCCACCCAGGCCACCUACUGAGAGGCCCAGAGAUCCAUUUGUUUUCUAAUGAGUAAAUAUGCGGACCAUCCUUUUUGAAAUUUUUGCUGCAUCUUUCUAACCACACCACUGAUGUCCAUGACCGUUUUCUGUUGCUUCCUUGACCAGUUGUUUUCUAAAAAGUCACGCAAAGCAUGUUGAUUUGGUGCUGAGACAAAAUUUUAUCCUUCACUUCCGCCCUUGGACUGAUGUGUGGCAGUCAGGAUCCAAAGAGAAAUCCAGACUCUAGUCCUCCAACUUUACCUCAACCCCUGGUCCGCCUUCUUCCUGAUUGGCAGAAGGUCUUUUCCUGGUCCCAGAACCCCACAGUCCCACCACUAUAGCUAAAAUGCCUGGAUUUGGGAGGAAAAAAUGGGAAGGUACAUAUUGACUCCAAAUACAAGACUUUGUGUGUAGCCUUCUCAAUAGAGAAGAAGUCUUUGGGGCUCGUGACCGUCUGGUGCCAAGUUGGUGAAUUAUGACCACCUGCAACUCAGAAGGCAUAUCUCAACUUGGAAGUAAGCAUUCCCCUUAGACCCCAAGGCUGUGGGCAAGAAAAGGAGCAUCUCCAUUCCCUCAGAAUAACUGAGAGUCCCCCCUAGGAAUUGCUACGUCCUAUGUGGCCAGUCCCUUUGGGAAGAACUGAGCCCUGAUCACGAAUAGAGCAUAGGAAUAUUGAUUUCAUCUCUAGGGUUUGGUCACUCCUAAAAUGUCAACUCCAUCAUCUAGGCAGGGAGUGGUGGAGAGUUUGGAGAAGGUAGAAAGUUAGAAGUAGCAAAGGCACCUACCUUUUCUGACAUCACUUAGUAAUGAUCACGACCAUGGUGUCAAACCUUUGUCCAAAGAGGUUUUUGUUUGUUUUGUUUUGUUUCGAGCAUUUUCCUCAUUCCGAUGGAAACAUCCUGGAUGUUCCUGGGUCUGGAUUUGGUCAUAUCAAACCAUGGUACCCAGUGGCUAGUAGAGUUAGUGCGCUGACAUCCCUGAAGCUGCCAUCCUUUCAGAACCAAAAAUGAUGACAGAUAGCCUAUCUUGGGACUCUUUUAUUCGCAUCAUGUUCAUCACGUUUAGAUGAAAAUUCUUGCAGAGCAUAAAAAAUAAAUGGCAUUUAAUUGUCCACUGAAUGCAUCACCUUGACCAAAAACAAAGAAACCUCAUUAAAUCAAAACCCUUUCAGAAAACCUGAGAUAGAGUCACAGCCUCUGAGGGGGGGAGGACCCAGCCCCCACCCCGUGAUACUAGAUAGAGCCCCUGAGUCCACUUCUGGUUGCGUUUUUUUAAUAGACUCCCACUUAGAUUUCUUGCCCUUUUUUGUCUGGGUGUGUCUCUCUCUAUCUCUGGAUCUCUCUGACUGCCUGUCUCUUUCUUUGUACACACACCCACACACACAUCCUUUUCCCAUCUUUCAGGACAAAAAAAAAACACCUUAGCAGCUCUGGAUCUAUAGGGUUGUCACUAUUUUGAUUAUCAUUGUUCUUGUUGGCGAUUUUUAAUGUGUGGCAGUAUCUAUCUUUUCACUUCUGAUGAGGAAAACCAGUUGACUACAAAGGCAAAUUAACUUCCUCUGUAAUGGGGUUUGCCUCAUUUUCACUUCUCAUAUCACUAAUUUUAUCACAAAUCUAGCUAUUGCCUUUUUUUUUUUAAAGGGUUCCUUGCCAGAAAAGUCUCUGAGGUAAAUAAUGGCAAGGUAACAAUUCCAGAAUGCUGUCUAAUCUCUUAUCUUCCACCUCUAGCAUUUGUGACCUUCUGAGUUCACCACAGGCCCUCCCACCACAGGGUUAGGAUUUCUUGGAAAAACAUGUGGGCUGUACCGUAUCCGAUGUCCACUCCUGCUUCUUAGCAUCUUGGCACGAGAGUUUGCUCUUUGUAAGUGAUCUGAGAGGCCACUUCUUCCUUAAGACUGAAAAAGAAGCCAAAAAAAAAAAAAAAACCCAUUCCCCUGAAGUGACAGACACACAGAUUCUUGUGCAGUGAGUGCCCGCAGUCACAGAAGUCCCUCCUCUGUGCUAUUUGCAUGGCCGGGACUGAAAAGUACAAUUGAUGAUGGCAAUUAAAAGGUGGUGGGGAUACUUACCCGCAGGUAGUCAGAAAAGAGGAUGGAAGGGUAUGAACGUGGAUGCUCUUCCCGAAUCCACGAGCAUCCCCUAGCUUUAGAGAUGACCUGUUUGGGGGAAUGUGUACGUCUUAAGGAGUUUAAUGCUCUCCUGAUUGCAAAGAAGGUUGGGAUUACCUGAAAAAUAAAUUAAUUCUGAGAAGCAGGUGUGAGUUUCUCAUCACUUACCUCUUCCCUUUCCCUGAUCCCCUCCCCAUCUCACAACUCCAGGACCUUUGUAAUAGGAACGAUAAUUUAUAAAGACCCAUAGGUCAAUAGAUCAGUAGCCAGGCUCUCCCCUUUGAGCCUUUCGAUGGCACUAAAUUAACCAUCCCAAAACUCAAGCAGUAAUUCCAGAUCCUGGACGUAGACCCUUAAUUAUCAAGCCCUGUAAUUGCAAAACAUGCUCAUUCUACAGAGAAGCUGCUGAGGUCAUUUACAUCUCUCUUUACAUACUCUGAAUGUUGCCUGCCUUGCAUGCUUCAUGAUCAAGUGGCUUCUUCAGGAACCUCCAUGAUCAAAGACCUCCUCAUCCUUGUGCUCCUGUUAACAUUUGUACUUACUACCGAGCUAUUCUCUCUCUGGCCACCUGAUAAAUAUUUGUUAAGGAUAAUGAUAAGGCAAGAAUAUACAUCUCUUCAGAGGUUCUGCCGGUCUGAACAGAGUGAGGGAGAAAAAUCUGUGGAGAAGGUAGCUCAACCUGAGUUACCUAAAGUCAUUGCUUGACAGAAUGUCUGUGGUCUUGUCAUCCUUACUGAAGUGAAGGGCUUGGAGAAGCAGGAAAAACGUGGGGACCAUGUGUACUCUAUAAACCAAAGACCAAUCACCAUCCAAAUGGACACAUGUUUCUUCCAGUGACGAGUUUAAUUUUCUCACAAUGUGCUCAUAAAUAAAAGUGAAGGUGGUUUGCUUGGUCGCAUGAAACUGUGAGACGGGGUUUUCUCUUGCAGGCUUGUGAUUGACCUUACUAAAUCCAGAAAUAUAAAAAAAUGUAUCAUGGCCUUAGUACCGCACCAUCUUGAAAGUCUAGUGCUUAGUCCCCUUUUCCCUCAAAAGUUUCAGACAAGUCGAGCGCUUUAUUGAACUCAGAAUAUUGUUCUCUUUGAGAAUGUGAAGAUUUUAAAUAGCCAAAGAAUUUUCAUGUAUAAGAGCUCAUUAAUUACAGCAUAUCCUGCUCUUUUGAAGAAAAUACCAAACUGUUGCCUGUAGUAACAGAUAGUGGAGCAAUGGAAGAAGGACUUAACAAAAGGACUUUUCAGCCUGUGUUUGUGUUGGCGUCUAUGGUACUUAGUGUUAAGUGGGAUGUUAUUGCAAAGGGGCAGGGUGCCCUCUGCUGGAAUUCUCGCCAUUAUUCUUUCAGCCAGCUAAUUUGACUAGGGUCACCAUUUCCUCAACAACUAGUAGUGAUUUGCCUUUCAUCGUACAGUUUCCUCAGUAGUUGAGAAUUUGGUCCACAUUUGUCAAAAGAGGAAGGAAUGUCACAAACUCUGAAAAGUUGGAGGAGGAUCCCAUGGAAGAUCUGUCAGCAGCCCCUUCCUUCUGCAGAAUGUUGAAAGAGUAUUGUUUGCUCUGUUUGCAAAGAAGAUGCCUCUGGCUGGAAUGUUUGUGCAGAGUUAUAAGGCAAGGGCCUAACUGUUUUGUAACGUUAUCUCAACUUUUUUCUUGUCAGAUUGCAAAGGAAGAUCAAUAAACAGACUUCUUUCAUAUGAAUGUAAAUGGUGUGAAAUACUCACGUGUUUUGUACAUGUACAUAAUAAUAUAUUUACUUCCUGCUUUCACAUUAGUAAUCUGAAAUGGUUGUACCAUUUUAUAAUUAGAAAGAGAUGUAGGGUUGGGGGAGGGAAGGGAGGGUUGUUAUUUUUAUAGUGGGAUGUCCCUUAUAUUUAGAAAAUGAAGUAAUUUUGUACUUGUGAAAAGUUACAUUCCAUUCAUUUCCUGAAAAACUAAUGGGUGUUGUUCUUUCAAAUGUUCAUGAGCUGGGAGUAGGAUUAUUCUAGUUUCCAGGGGAGCUUCCCAAGCAGUAUAUAUGUGACACUGACUUUGUGGACUGCAGAUCAUGACCAGCAAUAGCCAGCUCACUAAUGUGAAAAAAAAAAAAAACAACUUAUUUAAACCUCUUUGUAUAGAGCAUAUUAUUAUUUCCACUGGGGGGAAAAAAAUGUCUCCUACAAAGAAUGAAUCUUCCAUUCAGAAAUAGUCCAGACAUGGCAUCAUCAAUCAAUCUCUAGUCCCUCCCUACUAGCAACAAAAAAAAAUCCAGUGGAUUUCUUUUUCCACUCCUGAACACAAAUUAUGUGCUUUCGUUGUAAAACGAAUGAUGUCACCGGUAGAAUUUUACUUAGCAUUCCCUCGAGGUCUUUCUGGCCAGUCUGCAACUCCCACACAUAAUGAUCCCUGACCCAUCCUCUCCAUAUUCAGAUGAGACUGAGCUUCCUUGAUUUUUUUGCCACAUGACUCAAAAUCACCGAAGUUAUUCCUCAUGGCAUUUGCAUGAGUAACUUUUUAUUUGGACUUUGGUUAGCUUUUAAUUGCUAAAAAAAUUUAGUAGUGAAUUAUGUAGCUGUUUUACCCAAACAUCAUCUUCUAUACAAAGUCACAGGCGUAUUUAAAUGAUUAGUUAAGGCAGUGUAGUUAUUAGUUUUUGUUUUGUUUUCUGUAUAAAUCUCUUUCUCUUUCCCUCUUCCCCACCUCAGGCACCUACCUUCCUCCUUCUAAAGCACUUUAUAUAUCUCUUGAAAUACACGGAAGUUUUAAAAAACUGUCUUUAAAGGAAUUUGUCUUCUAUUAGGAGACAUGACUUUCAUCUUGCUUUAUUGUAUUCUCUUUGUGCUUGGAAAGCAUAAGCUGUUUGUCUCAUGUGGGCUAGUGAUGAAAUAUUAAGGAUAAUAAUUGGAAACAUUCAAUCAUACAACAUGGCUAUUUUUGUUAUAUAGAAGACUAUCGUGUAAAUAAGUGCAAUCGUGUUCUUAUGUACUGGUUCAAAAAAAAAUACAACUAUGAAGAUUUGAAAAGGAUUGUGAAUUCCAGGAAAUUUCAUUGCAGAAUUUCGUUUGGUUUUGUUUUUUAAUAAAUUGGAACCAGA
Lagenorhynchus albirostris (white-beaked dolphin) is the source of this 10031-nucleotide RNA transcript. It is a transcript of the gene named ring finger protein 150, with no coding region annotated. The transcript has 8 exons. The record is from RefSeq and is a predicted model, not a curated record. NCBI's taxonomy places the organism in Eukaryota, Metazoa, Chordata, Mammalia, Artiodactyla, Delphinidae.